UGGGGAAUAUUGGACAAUGGGCGCAAGCCUGAUCCAGCAAUGCCGCGUGUGUGAAGAAGGCCUUCGGGUUGUAAAGCACUUUUAUCAGGAGCGAAACGCUGUCGGCUAAUACCCGGCGGAACUGACGGUACCUGAGGAAUAAGCACCGGCUAACUUCGUGCCAGCAGCCGCGGUAAUACGAAGGGUGCAAGCGUUAAUCGGAAUUACUGGGCGUAAAGCGUGCGUAGGCGGUUUCUUAAGUCUGCUGUGAAAUCCCCGGGCUCAACCUGGGAAUGGCAGUGGAUACUGGGAGGCUAGAGUGUGUCAGAGGGUGGUGGAAUUCCCGGUGUAGCGGUGAAAUGCGUAGAGAUCGGGAGGAACAUCAGUGGCGAAGGCGGCCACCUGGGACAACACUGACGCUGAGGCACGAAAGCGUGGGGAGCAAACAGGAUUAGAUACCCUGGUAGUCCACGCCCUAAACGAUGCGAACUGGAUGUUGGUCUCAACUCGGAGAUCAGUGUCGAAGCUAACGCGUUAAGUUCGCCGCCUGGGGAGUACGGUCGCAAGAUUAAAACUCAAAGGAAUUGGC
Molecule: ribosomal RNA, 568 nt
Filed under: uncultured bacterium
Lineage: Bacteria
Description: partial 16S ribosomal RNA
Rfam family: Bacterial small subunit ribosomal RNA
Source: RNAcentral